GACGAACGCUGGCGGCGUGCUUAACACAUGCAAGUCGAACGGAAAGGCCCUGCUUUUGUGGGGUGCUCGAGUGGCGAACGGGUGAGUAACACGUGAGUAACCUGCCCUUGACUUUGGGAUAACUUCAGGAAACUGGGGCUAAUACCGGAUAGGAGCUCCUGCUGCAUGGUGGGGGUUGGAAAGUUUCGGCGGUUGGGGAUGGACUCGCGGCUUAUCAGCUUGUUGGUGGGGUAGUGGCUUACCAAGGCUUUGACGGGUAGCCGGCCUGAGAGGGUGACCGGCCACAUUGGGACUGAGAUACGGCCCAGACUCCUACGGGAGGCAGCAGUGGGGAAUAUUGCACAAUGGGCGGAAGCCUGAUGCAGCAACGCCGCGUGCGGGAUGACGGCCUUCGGGUUGUAAACCGCUUUCGCCUGUGACGAAGCGUGAGUGACGGUAAUGGGUAAAGAAGCACCGGCUAACUACGUGCCAGCAGCCGCGGUGAUACGUAGGGUGCGAGCGUUGUCCGGAUUUAUUGGGCGUAAAGGGCUCGUAGGUGGUUGAUCGCGUCGGAAGUGUAAUCUUGGGGCUUAACCCUGAGCGUGCUUUCGAUACGGGUUGACUUGAGGAAGGUAGGGGAGAAUGGAAUUCCUGGUGGAGCGGUGGAAUGCGCAGAUAUCAGGAGGAACACCAGUGGCGAAGGCGGUUCUCUGGGCCUUUCCUGACGCUGAGGAGCGAAAGCGUGGGGAGCGAACAGGCUUAGAUACCCUGGUAGUCCACGCUGUAAACGGUGGGUACUAGGUGUGGGGUCCAUUCCACGGGUUCCGUGCCGUAGCUAACGCUUUAAGUACCCCGCCUGGGGAGUACGGCCGCAAGGCUAAAACUCAAAGGAAUUGACGGGGCCCCGCACUAGCGGCGGAGCAUGCGGAUUAAUUCGAUGCAACGCGUAGAACCUUACCUGGGUUUGACAUGGAUCGGGAGUGCUCAGAGAUGGGUGUGCCUCUUUUGGGGUCGGUUCACAGGUGGUGCAUGGCUGUCGUCAGCUCGUGUCGUGAGAUGUUGGGUUAAGUCCCGCAACGAGCGCAACCCUUGUUCACUGUUGCCAGCACGUUAUGGUGGGGACUCAGUGGAGACCGCCGGGGUCAACUCGGAGGAAGGUGGGGAUGACGUCAAGUCAUCAUGCCCCUUAUGUCCAGGGCUUCACGCAUGCUACAAUGGCUGGUACAGAGAGUGGCGAGCCUGUGAGGGUGAGCGAAUCUCGGAAAGCCGGUCUCAGUUCGGAUUGGGGUCUGCAACUCGACCUCAUGAAGUCGGAGUCGCUAGUAAUCGCAGAUCAGCAACGCUGCGGUGGAUACGUUCCCGGG
Molecule: ribosomal RNA, 1343 nt
Filed under: uncultured bacterium
Lineage: Bacteria
Description: 16S ribosomal RNA
Rfam family: Bacterial small subunit ribosomal RNA
Source: RNAcentral